Molecule: long non-coding RNA, 1127 nt
Organism: Meriones unguiculatus (Mongolian gerbil)
Lineage: Eukaryota; Metazoa; Chordata; Mammalia; Rodentia; Muridae
Exons: 2
Source: RefSeq, a predicted model, not a curated record
AGGGCAGAUGGGUGUAGCUGGCAGGAGGCGGCCCAGAGUGCUGUCUAACCUCAAUUCAAGGAAAACUUGGGUGCGUCGGAUAAGAUAAAGAAAACCAGCAAGCCCAGGAGAUAAACACUGCCUACGGAGUGAAAAGGCUGUAACCUCCCCGGGCCCUGUCUCCGAAUUCCAGCAAGCCGUUACUCAAUGGCCUACUUCCCCUAACCGCUUCUUGGUACAGACUUGAAGAGGAAGCGCAGGAAGUGGUCAGUUGGGAAGCGGUUCUUCCAAAUGUAGGCCAUGGGAGGCUUGAUUCCUGACACUGACCACAAUUGAAGUUCUAUGGUUCUCAGAAGGAUCAAGAUUUAAUUAAAAAAAUAAACGGGAAGCACAUGAUAAAAAAAUGUACGGAAGGGGAGAUAGGGACUACUGUGUGCUGGGGGGACAAAGGGAAAUCCCACCCUCCUUAAAUCAAGAGUUCCAGAUCAAAUACUAAAAGUAAAAUUACAAAAACUUUAAAAUAAGUCAAGUUUUUUUUUUUUGUUUGUUUACAGUUGGAAGAGAUCCCUAAGCAAAAGAUAAAGGGAAAUAUUAAUAAACCUGCCUAUAUUAAAACCCUUGUUGUCAGGUGUGAGAGCCAAAGUUAGAAGUUUUAAUUAUUGUCCCUAAGAAAGCCAUAAAACGAAAGUGCUUCUGACCUUUGAGCCCUUGUGGAAGAACGGAUACUUCCUGAGGAGGCUCUGCCUACAUCUGACUCGAGUCACGAGCGUCACUUCCUUAAACAGGGUCGGUCAACCCAGCUGACCAGAUGCCCUCGGUGACAGCUGCAGAUAGUUUAAUUCUGAGGACUCUGCGAGGGUAUAAAUGCCAGAGCCCAGAGACGGACGGGAGAGCUUGAAGGAAGAAGGUGGCUGCUGCUCCUGCUGCUGCUCCUGCUGCUGGUUUGUCCUGCUGCUGCAUUUGCUGUUGUUGUUUUUCUGGACUGCUGGAUAUCCUGACUACAAAGAUUGUACUUGUCCCAAGGAACUAAGUCUAAAGAGGUCUCCAUCCCUGUGCCCUCUAACCUGUGCCUUCUCUCCUACCUAGAGUUGUGGGGUUGGAAGAGGUAGAAGAACCCAAAUAAAAUAGAAUGAAAAGCACCCACUCUA